Non-coding RNA from Cucurbita pepo subsp. pepo (vegetable marrow), 1241 nucleotides. The record is from RefSeq and is a predicted model, not a curated record. NCBI's taxonomy places the organism in Eukaryota, Viridiplantae, Streptophyta, Magnoliopsida, Cucurbitales, Cucurbitaceae.
UCGAAGCGCCUGUAGGUGGGGCGAGUCUUGAUUUUGGGUUGUGGAUAGAGAGGUUGGGUUUUCGGGCUAGGUUGGAUAGUGGGCUACGGAUGGGUGACCUAUCCGGAUCCAGAUCCGUCAGAUAUUGUAAGGGCAAAUGUGUCAUUUUGCAACUCCGCCUACUAUAGGGGUCCAAGUGGAAAGGGAAGACUAGGAGAGGGUUUGGGAGAAUUGAGGAGCCGUCGUCGGGACUUCGUCCAGAAUCGAGGGAAGCCGACUUUGUGAAGAAACUUGGCAGAAAUUCAGGAAUCGUCCGAGACGGCGUGCGAACUUUUAUGGCUCAAAUCUUGUUCUAUGUUGAGGCUAAAAUCACGAAAAAAAAAAAAUACCAAGACGUAGUCCUCAACAUGAUAUAGAAUUUUGUCGAAGGAACCAUAUCGAUUCGAGCUUCAGAUCAAAAGAUAUGAAAAUUAGAAAAUGGUGGAUUAGAAAAGGGCUACGGAUUGCUGGAGAGAGAGAAAAGAAAAGAAAAAAGAAAAAGAAAAAAAGGCGGCGGGCAGCGGAGUGCGGCUCGACAGGCGACGACGCGUCGAGCGACGCAGCUCCAGCGAAAUGAUGACGCGUGUCACCAACAGGAACCAGGGCAAACCGCAGUGAAUGGGACUACUGGCUAAACCAACCCGACCCGCAACUACGUGAAGCAAUCCGCGCGUGGCCGUCACACGUGCAGCCUGGUACUGGCAUCUUUUCCCACGCGUGGGGGUGCGUGGUCGGCGUGUGAGGGUGCGUGGGAGGCUCAUUUUUCGUCCGUUUACCUUCUGUUUGUCCCGAUUUCUAUUUUUAUGUGAAUAAGGACUUAAUCAAGAAUAAUCAGUAUUUUUGGACACCUUACAAACACAGAAACGCUAGCAUAAGGGCACACGUCAACCAGAUAGGUCAUCACACGGAACUUAGAAAGAGAUACAUGUAGGAAUCGCCUUGGUAUACAUGCAUGCUAGAUUAGUUUCCUUAUGUGAUUCGACUUUUCUAUGUUAUGAGCUUAGGUUGCAAAGUACAUGUUGUAUGACCAGUUAUAUAUGCUUCCAUGAUAAGUUAAACAUGUUUUAUGCUUCCGCUUAGUGUAUAAUUGUUUAUCCAUGCUGAAAGAAGGAUGGGUAAAUUGUGAACUCUGCGUUCUAGGUGUUGAUGAACGUUAUCACCCCGUUGAGCAUAAUUGCCUAUUUUUGCAUAAACUGUAUAAUGUAUCUUAUUCUUGAUGCUUA